AAGAAGAAGAAAUAGGCUGCUAACCUAUAAUUUAGCUCAGGUUAUCUUCUUG
Molecule: transfer RNA, 52 nt
Filed under: Buthus occitanus (common European scorpion)
Lineage: Eukaryota; Metazoa; Arthropoda; Arachnida; Scorpiones; Buthidae
Description: tRNA-Ser
Source: RNAcentral